GCUUUGUUAUGCUAUAGAUCUAGAGUCAAGACAGUGCAUAAUGUGACCUUUUAAAGUAGGUGAAAUACACAUGAGCCAUAAUAAGAACAAGUCCUAUUGCCGUUGGUCGUAGCAAUCUAAGAAAGGAUUCUACAUUCAGGGUGAAUCCUAUCACGCACAUCAGCAGCAGACAGCUUAUUAUUACCAUAGAAACCCAUCGAACAGCAAAAAUAAUCUUUGCGUUUCUAAGCCCGUCCGGAAUAUUAGUUGGCAAUUUUGUUUGAGAUGAAGAUACGCUGAUGGAAAAUCAUUGUUCAUUGAAUAUGAUGACGUCAUUUCACUACCAACCACAUUCCUUUCCUUGGUUUGAUAACUGGACUCUUUUGUCCAUGUUUGGUCCGAUUCGUUAGGAGGAGCCUCGUUCCCAUAGUACCAAGCUACUUGGAAACUGUUGACGUAUGCUACACUGCUUGCAAAAUAGCACAUGAUGACAUACUGAAUAGGC
RNAcentral lists this long non-coding RNA (484 nucleotides) under Mytilus galloprovincialis (Mediterranean mussel). Lineage: Eukaryota; Metazoa; Mollusca; Bivalvia; Mytilida; Mytilidae. The record is from RNAcentral.